This 2140-nucleotide long non-coding RNA is filed under the name Salmo salar (Atlantic salmon). RNAcentral's name for it is "lncRNA (ENSSSAG00000098756.1)". The record is from RNAcentral. Lineage: Eukaryota; Metazoa; Chordata; Actinopteri; Salmoniformes; Salmonidae.
GCAACAGCAGAGGACUUUCCGGAGCUGCGGAACAAUAUUUCGGACUAACUUUGAAGGAAACCCACUAAAUUAAUGUCUUAUAUGGCUACAUUUCUUAAGAAGUAUGGGUUUUAUUUCGACUUUUGACAAUAUUGUUAUCAGACUUUUUUUAGUCGGUUCACGCAAAGUUAUUAGCACUUGAAAGCGUAGCUCGCGUAUAGCCUAUUAUCGCUAAUAGCCUAGCCAAUAUUUACAGUUGGAGUCGGGUGUUUACACACACCUUAGCCAAAUACAUUUAAACUCAGUUUUUCACAAUUCCUGACGUUUAAUCCGAGUAAAUAUUCCCUGUUUUAGGUCAGUUAGGAUCACCACCUUAUUUUAAGAAUGUGAAAUAUCAGAAUAAUAGUAGAGAGAAUGAUUUAUUUCAGCUCUAUUUCUUUCAUCACAUUCCCAGUGGGUCAGAAGUUUACCUGCACUCAAUUAGUAUUUGGUAGCAUUGCCUUUAAAUUGUUUAACUUGGGUCAAACGUUUCGGGUAGCCUUCCACAAUUAAUUUUGUGAAUUUUGGCCGAUUCCUCCUGACAGAGCCGGUGUAACUGAGUCAGGUUUGUAGGCCUCCUUCCUCGCACAAGCUUUUUCAGGUCUGCCCACACAUUUUCUAUGGAAUUGAGGUCAGGGCUUUGUGAUGGCCAUUCCAAUACCUUGACUUUGUUGUCUUUAAGCCAUUUUGCCACAACUUUGGAAGUAUGCUUGGGGUCAUUGUACAUUUGGAAGACCCAUUUGCGACCAAGCUUUAACUUCCUGACUGAUGUCUUGAGAUGUUGCUUCAAUAUAUCCACAUUAUUUUCCAGACUCAUGAUGCCAUCUAUUUUGUGAAGUGCACCAGUCUCUCCUGCAGCAAAGCACCCCCACAACAUGAUGCUGCCACCGCCGUGCUUCACGGUCGGGAUGGUGUUCUUCAGCUUUUUUAUGGCGGUUUUGGAGCAGUGGCUUUUUCCUUGCUGAGCGGCCUUUCGUUUAUGUUGAUAUAGGACUCGUUUUACUGUGGAUAUAGAUACUUUUGUACCUGUUUCCUUCAGCAUCUUCACAAGGUCCUUUGCUGUUGUUCUGGGAUUGAUUUUCACUUUUUGCAGCAAAAUAUGUUCAUCUCUAGGAGACAGAACGCGUCUCCUUCCUCAGAGGUAUGACCGCUGCGUGUUCCCAUUAGAGGUCGACCGAUUAAUCGGAAUGGCCGAUUAAUUAGGGCCGAUUUCAAGUUUUCAUAGCAAUCGGUAAUCGGUAUUUUUGGCCACCGAUUUGCCCUUUUUUAAAAAAAACCUUUAUUUAACUAGGCAAGUCAGUUAAGAACACAUUCUUAUUUUCAAUGACGGCCUAGGGUUAACUGCCUUGUUCAGGGGCAGAACGACAGAUUUUUACCUUGUCAGCUUGGGGAUGCAACCUUACGUUAACUAGCCCAACGCUCUAACCACCUGCUUUACGUUGCCAAGGCCGAGGACGUCUCUGUGGUUGCAUUAGAGGCUUUGGAAUAAAUGGCCCAGUUAUUUAACAGCCUGACUCCUGUCAUAUGGAAAAAAGAAACACUGAACCUGUUCAAAAACAGGUGAACUAGUUAAGUUAAGAAAUUGGAGGGAUGCGUCGGGUGUGGUGUUGGGGCAUCCUCUGGAGAUGGAGGGUCAGUUACUUCAGGCAAAGGGUCUCUGAAAACGUAUUUCAACAAGCUGAACACCAUCUUGAAACAGAAGGUGGAUCCAACAUCAAAUCCACUCGAAAAUAGGGAACACAGCGCAUGUGAGAUCGUGGGAGCGGAGCUUCGCUACAAACUAGUGCAGUUUUAAAAAUUCCUCGACACCAUGGUCAAGCUGUGACGAAGUCGGCCUCAGAGUCAAGCCGUGAGGAAGGAGCGGUCUGUUGGACAACCACAUAACCAUCAUUGGAGACAUGUAACAUGUCCCUGAGGCUGGCAAAUAGAUUGACGGAUAAUAUUUUACUGACUGACUGAUUUAUUUAUAUGUGAAGGCUAUGUAUUUAUUUAUUUAUAAUACAAUUAAAUGACAUAAACAUGCAUCUAUUAUCAUAUUGUUUUUUUCAUUCAUUUAUAUAUUCAGUCAUCCAUUUAUUCAUCCAUUGUCUUUCAUGCAUUCAUUUGUUCAUAGGGAAUCUAC